RNAcentral lists this ribosomal RNA (274 nucleotides) under uncultured bacterium. Its description in RNAcentral is "partial 16S ribosomal RNA". It matches the Rfam family "Bacterial small subunit ribosomal RNA", at positions 523 to 796 of the family's 1533-position model. The record is from RNAcentral.
AUACGGAGGGUCCGAGCGUUAUCCGGAAUCAUUGGGUUUAAAGGGUCCGUAGGCGGGAAUCUAAGUCAGUGGUGAAAUCUUGCAGCUCAACUGUAAAAUUGCCAUUGAUACUGGGUUUCUUGAAUUAGUGUGAAGUGGUUAGAAUGUGUAGUGUAGCGGUGAAAUGCAUAGAUAUUACACAGAAUACCAAUUGCGAAGGCAGAUCACUAACACUGUAUUGACGCUGAGGGACGAAAGCGUGGGGAGCGAACAGGAUUAGAAACCCGGGUAGUCC